Molecule: ribosomal RNA, 506 nt
Filed under: uncultured bacterium
Lineage: Bacteria
Description: partial 16S ribosomal RNA
Rfam family: Bacterial small subunit ribosomal RNA
Source: RNAcentral
AGUGAACGCUGGCGGUAGGCCUAACACAUGCAAGUCGAACGGCAGCACAGGAGAGCUUGCUCUCUGGGUGGCGAGUGGCGGACGGGUGAGGAAUACAUCGGAAUCUACUUUUUCGUGGGGGAUAACGUAGGGAAACUUACGCUAAUACCGCAUACGACCUACGGGUGAAAGCAGGGGAUCUUCGUACCUUGCGCGAUUGAAUGAGCCGAUGUCGGAUUAGCUAGUUGGCGGGGUAACGGCCCACCAAGGCGACGAUCCGUAGCUGGUCUGAGAGGAUGAUCAGCCACACUGGAACUGAGACACGGUCCAGACUCCUACGGGAGGCAGCAGUGGGGAAUAUUGGACAAUGGGCGCAAGCCUGAUCCAGCCAUACCGCGUGGGUGAAGAAGGCCUUCGGGUUGUAAAGCCCUUUUGUUGGGAAAGAAAUCCAGCUGGUUAAUACCCGGUUGGGAUGACGGUACCCAAAGAAUAAGCACCGGCUAACUUCGUGCCAGCAGCCGCAGUAA